AUUGAACGCUGGCGGAAUGCUUUACACAUGCAAGUCGAACGGCAGCACGGGUGCUUGCACCUGGUGGCGAGUGGCGAACGGGUGAGUAAUGCACCGGAACGUAUCCAAUAAUGGGGGAUAACGCACCGAAAGGUGUGCUAAUACCGCAUACGCCCUGUGGGGGAAAGCGGGGGAUCGUAAGACCUCGCGUUAAUGGAGCGGCCGAUGCCGGAUUAGCUAGUUGGUGAGGUAAAGGCUCACCAAGGCGACGAUCCGUAGCUGGUCUGAGAGGACGACCAGCCACACUGGAACUGAGACACGGUCCAGACUCCUACGGGAGGCAGCAGUGGGGAAUUUUGGACAAUGGGCGCAAGCCUGAUCCAGCCAUUCCGCGUGAGUGAAGAAGGCCUCGGUGUAAGACUCUUUCUAG
Molecule: ribosomal RNA, 409 nt
Filed under: uncultured bacterium
Lineage: Bacteria
Description: bacterial SSU rRNA
Rfam family: Bacterial small subunit ribosomal RNA
Source: RNAcentral